UUUCACGCUGGCGGCCGGCCUCACACAUGCAAGUCGCGCGGAUGAAGGGAGCUUGCUCCUGGAUUCAGCGGCGGACGGGUGAGUAAUGCCUAGGAAUCUGCCUGGUAGUGGGGGAUAACGUCCGGAAACGGGCGCUAAUACCGCAUACGUCCUGAGGGAGAAAGUGGGGGAUCUUCGGACCUCACGCUAUCAGAUGAGCCUAGGUCGGAUUAGCUAGUUGGUGGGGUAAAGGCCUACCAAGGCGACGAUCCGUAACUGGUCUGAGAGGAUGAUCAGUCACACUGGAACUGAGACACGGUCCAGACUCCUACGGGAGGCAGCAGUGGGGAAUAUUGGACAAUGGGCGAAAGCCUGAUCCAGCCAUGCCGCGUGUGUGAAGAAGGUCUUCGGAUUGUAAAGCACUUUAAGUUGGGAGGAAGGGCAGUAAGUUAAUACCUUGCUGUUUUGACGUUACCAACAGAAUAAGCACCGGCUAACUUCGUG
RNAcentral lists this ribosomal RNA (483 nucleotides) under uncultured bacterium. RNAcentral describes it as "partial 16S ribosomal RNA". It matches the Rfam family "Bacterial small subunit ribosomal RNA", at positions 33 to 507 of the family's 1533-position model. The record is from RNAcentral.